UUGUUUGUAUCACACUGGAUUGGAUUGACAACCUAAAAUACUACAACGACAGGAUAGUGUUUUAGGAUUAAUUGAGUAAAAAUCCUACUAUCAAUUUGGCACCGUUGCCAGUUUGGUGUUUGUUUGCUAUAUUUGAGAUCAUUAGAAACGUUAAGAUCAAGUUCGCUUUUGUUACACAAAUUACUAACAUUGUGCCUUUUUUGUCGUUGUGUUUUAGGUACCUUGCAACCCGCUUUACAGACGCAUCAACAAACUCCUCCAAGUGCAGCAGAAGCAUGUUGACUUUGCCUCUGAAGAAGUAUUCCAAAUCCAAGAGGGGGUGAAUGAUCAGUGCGCUGUGAUAAGUGUGUAUUUUGCAUGUUUUGAGCAUCCAUUUGUCAUCACUUUAGCAUCAUAUCAUCACUGUUUUAUACCAUUUCUCAUCAUUUGUCAUCACUUUGCAUGUUUAGGAUAUGUUUGCAUGCAUGUUGCA
RNAcentral lists this small RNA (472 nucleotides) under Arabidopsis thaliana (thale cress). RNAcentral describes it as "ATSL169360". Lineage: Eukaryota; Viridiplantae; Streptophyta; Magnoliopsida; Brassicales; Brassicaceae. The record is from RNAcentral.